AACAAAAACAACCAUGUCAUUUUCAGCAUGCAUGUUUAGUGAAUGUCGAGGCUGAAGCGUAGGACAACUCGUACACUCCUGUUUCAAAUUGGACAAUGUUUUGUUAUUUGUUUUUACUGUUGAAAUUAGUUGUUAUGUUAAAAUAGAUAAUUAUUCACCUUGAGCGAUGUGUUAUUGUUGACCAUUCCAGAUUCUUUUUUCGCGAACCCGUCUUCAGCUGAAUGUGUGAUUACUGUAUUACUACACGGGCCUCAAGGGAUUUCAAAUCGAAAACAAAUGCAAAAUAUGUGUUUUUGUGUCUUUCAAAACACAAAUAAUAUACAGAAU
Molecule: long non-coding RNA, 327 nt
Filed under: Mytilus galloprovincialis (Mediterranean mussel)
Lineage: Eukaryota; Metazoa; Mollusca; Bivalvia; Mytilida; Mytilidae
Source: RNAcentral